UUAAUUGAAACCAAAAAGAGGUAUAUCACUGUUAAUGAUAUCAAUGAAUGAUUACAUUCCAAUUAAG
This 67-nucleotide transfer RNA is filed under the name Aedes japonicus. RNAcentral's name for it is "tRNA-Asn". Lineage: Eukaryota; Metazoa; Arthropoda; Insecta; Diptera; Culicidae. The record is from RNAcentral. RNAcentral also lists the same sequence under 1 other name.